CUCGUCGUGUUCUGAAAAUGC
Molecule: non-coding RNA, 21 nt
Filed under: Arabidopsis thaliana (thale cress)
Lineage: Eukaryota; Viridiplantae; Streptophyta; Magnoliopsida; Brassicales; Brassicaceae
Source: RNAcentral